This 380-nucleotide unclassified non-coding RNA is filed under the name soil metagenome. RNAcentral's name for it is "partial contains 5.8S ribosomal RNA, internal transcribed spacer 2, and large subunit ribosomal RNA". The stretch from base 1 to 120 matches the Rfam family "5.8S ribosomal RNA", at positions 35 to 154 of the family's 154-position model. The record is from RNAcentral.
GAUGAAGAACGUAGCGAAAUGCGAUAAGUAAUGUGAAUUGCAGAAUUCAGUGAAUCAUCGAAUCUUUGAACGCACCUUGCACCCUUUGGCAUUCUGAAGGGUAUGCUCGUUUGAGUGUCAUUGUACUCUCACACUCCCGAUCUUUGCAUUGGGAGCAGUGGACUUGGGUUUGCUGCUUCACCGUCGCUUACCUCAAAUAGGUUAGUGCAACUCUUGGUUGGACAUAGUACGGCGUGAUAAGUGUUCUUCGCCGGUGCCUCGCAAAGAGGGUGGCCGAUCGGGAUGUUGUGCUCCAAACCGUCUUCGGACAAUCUCUGACGACUUGACCUCAAAUCGAGUAGGACUACCCGCUGAACUUAAGCAUAUCAAUAAGCGGAGGA